UACGUAGGGGGCUAGCGUUGUCCGGAAUCAUUGGGCGUAAAGCGCGUGUAGGCGGUCCGGUAAGUCCGCUGUGAAAGUCGGGGGCUCAACCUCGGAUGCCGGUGGAUACUGUCGGGCUUGAGUAUGGUAGAGGUCAGUGGAACUGCGAGUGUAGAGGUGAAAUUCGUAGAUAUUCGCAAGAACACCAGUGGCGAAGGCGGCUGACUGGACCAUUACUGACGCUGAGGCGGCGAAAGCGUUGGGGAGCAAACACGG
Molecule: ribosomal RNA, 255 nt
Filed under: uncultured bacterium
Lineage: Bacteria
Description: partial 16S ribosomal RNA
Rfam family: Bacterial small subunit ribosomal RNA
Source: RNAcentral